RNAcentral lists this ribosomal RNA (512 nucleotides) under uncultured bacterium. Its description in RNAcentral is "partial 16S ribosomal RNA". It matches the Rfam family "Bacterial small subunit ribosomal RNA", at positions 28 to 523 of the family's 1533-position model. The record is from RNAcentral.
GACGAACGCUGGCGGCGUGCCUAAUACAUGCAAGUCGAGCGAAUGGAAGGGAGCUUGCUCCCUGAAGUUAGCGGCGGACGGGUGAGUAACACGUGGGCAACCUGCCUGUAAGACUGGGAUAACUUCGGGAAACCGGAGCUAAUACCGGAUACGUUCUUUUCUCGCAUGAGGAAAGAUGGAAAGAUGGUUUCGGCUAUCACUUACAGAUGGGCCCGCGGCGCAUUAGCUAGUUGGUGGGGUAAUGGCCCACCAAGGCGACGAUGCGUAGCCGACCUGAGAGGGUGAUCGGCCACACUGGGACUGAGACACGGCCCAGACUCCGACGGGAGGCAGCAGUAGGGAAUCUUCCGCAAUGGACGAAAGUCUGACGGAGCAACGCCGCGUGAGCGAAGAAGGCCUUCGGGUCGUAAAGCUCUGUUGUCAGGGAAGAACAAGUGCCAGAGUAACUGCUGGCACCUUGACGGUACCUGACCAGAAAGCCACGGCUAACUACGUGCCAGCAGCCGCCGUAA